RNAcentral lists this ribosomal RNA (918 nucleotides) under Bjerkandera sp. BOL13. RNAcentral's name for it is "eukaryotic LSU rRNA". The stretch from base 552 to 918 matches the Rfam family "Eukaryotic large subunit ribosomal RNA", at positions 1 to 361 of the family's 3401-position model. The record is from RNAcentral. Lineage: Eukaryota; Fungi; Basidiomycota; Agaricomycetes; Polyporales; Phanerochaetaceae.
GAAGGAUCAUUAUCGAGUUUUGAACGGGUUGUCUGCUGGCUCGCAAGGGCAUGUGCACGCCUGUCUCAUCCACUCUCAACUUCUGUGCACUUUUCAUAGGCCGGCUUGUGGGUGCGUUCGCGCACUUGUAGGUGUCGGGCUUAUGCUUUACUACAAACGAUUCAGUUUUAGAAUGUCAUACUUUGCUAUAACGCAAUUUAUAUACAACUUUCAGCAACGGAUCUCUUGGCUCUCGCAUCGAUGAAGAACGCAGCGAAAUGCGAUAAGUAAUGUGAAUUGCAGAAUUCAGUGAAUCAUCGAAUCUUUGAACGCACCUUGCGCUCCUUGGUAUUCCGAGGAGCAUGCCUGUUUGAGUCUCAUGGAAUUCUCAACCUUCGGCUUUAUUGACGAAGGCUUGGACUUGGAGGUCGUGCCGGCUCUCGUAGUCGGCUCCUCUGAAAUGCAUUAGUGCGAACGUUACCAGCCGCUUCAGCGUGAUAAUUAUCUGCGUUGCUGUGGAGGGUAUUCUAGUGUUCGCGCUUCUAACCGUCUUCGGACAAAUUUCUGAACUCUGAGCUCAAAUCAGGUAGGACUACCCGCUGAACUUAAGCAUAUCAAUAAGCGGAGGAAAAGAAACUAACAAGGAUUCCCCUAGUAACUGCGAGUGAAGCGGGAAAAGCUCAAAUUUAAAAUCUGGCGGUCUUCGGCCGUCCGAGUUGUAAUCUGGAGAAGCGUUUUCCGCGCUGGACCGUGUACAAGUCUCUUGGAACAGAGCGUCAUAGAGGGUGAGAAUCCCGUCUUUGACACGGACUACCAGUGCUAUGUGAUGCGCUCUCGAUGAGUCGAGUUGUUUGGGAAUGCAGCUCAAAAUGGGUGGUAAAUUCCAUCUAAAGCUAAAUAUUGGCGAGAGACCGAUAGCGAACAAGUACCGUGAGGGAA